GACGAACGCUGGCGGCGUGCUUAACACAUGCAAGUCGAGCGGUAAGGCCCUUUCGGGGGUACACGAGCGGCGAACGGGUGAGUAACACGUGGGUGACCUGCCCUUAGCUCUGGGAUAAGCCUGGGAAACUGGGUCUAAUACCGGAUAUGACUCCAUGACGCAUGUUGUGGGGUGGAAAGCCUUGUGCGGCUAGGGAUGGGCCUGCGGCCUAUCAGCUUGUUGGUGGGGUGAUGGCCUACCAAGGCGACGACGGGUAGCCGGCCUGAGAGGGCGACCGGCCACACUGGGACUGAGACACGGCCCAGUCUCCUACGGGAGGCAGCAGUGGGGAAUCUUGCGCAAUGGGCGAAAGCCUGACGCAGCGACGCCGCGU
RNAcentral lists this ribosomal RNA (373 nucleotides) under uncultured bacterium. RNAcentral's name for it is "bacterial SSU rRNA". It matches the Rfam family "Bacterial small subunit ribosomal RNA", at positions 28 to 402 of the family's 1533-position model. The record is from RNAcentral.